AAUAAAGUGCCUAGUGCAUUGCCGACAUACGCAUUCAGAUGAAAAGCACAUUCCAAGGAAAGAAAACUAUCCAGUGCGCACAUGUAGGUUCAGACGGCAAACAAUGUUUGAGAAUUCAUUCUUGAUGUUGCAAUCCAUUCUGCGAUGUGUAUGUGAGCACCUGAGAUUCAUCGUGUACGUUGACUCUUUGUGGGCAGCGAUAUCAGGGAAACCAGCCCCAAAGCUUACAUUGUGGAUUGAAGACGUGGAGAUUAGGUUUAGCCACUGGGCUAAAUACUGAAGUCUGGAGAAAUAACCCAUCCAUGUUUUGACGCCUUAGUGAUGUUUUGCAUCACCACCUUCCACGAACGUAGAAACUGACGUGAAAUACCUUGAUAUUUUUUUU
Molecule: long non-coding RNA, 385 nt
Organism: Rhipicephalus sanguineus (brown dog tick)
Lineage: Eukaryota; Metazoa; Arthropoda; Arachnida; Ixodida; Ixodidae
Exons: 2
Source: RefSeq, a predicted model, not a curated record